AGACAAUAGAUAGCACAUGCCUAUAUCAGUUUAGUCUAAGAGUAACUCAUUUUAUUCCAAUCUAGAAUCUAAACUAUAGGUCUGGAAUGAAUCAAGACUGGCCCAGACCAGUACACAAAAAACUAAAAUUCUGUUUGUUGUUGUUGCUGUUCAAUCACUUCAGUCACAUUCAACUCUUCAUGAACCCAUGUAAUAUUCUUGGUGGUUUUCUGGAGGGACCAGCCUUAUUUUCAGUAGAGUAAUCACCACAAGAAUAGCCAGUUGUUAAAGUCCAUAUCCUUUAUUAUCUCCUUUACAAUCUAGUUUCCUUGCCUGGGGUUGGGCAACUUUCUGGAGAGCCUUUCAGACCGGCCUUGGUCUCAGUAGGGGAGUGCAGGAGGCCAGCCAACAGGAGCCUGCCGAGAGAUGGAAUGAAUCUCUCUCCUUGGCUUGGAGAGCUUGAGCUCCCGCCUCCAGUCUGCUUGUCUUCUCUGGCUCUGAUUCUGGCUGAGUUUGUCGGAGCUUAUAUGCUGUCUUAUAAUUACAUUAUAAGUGUGAAUCUUGUAGAACUAUAUUAAGUACUAAGUACAUGUACUGAACUAGAGAACUAUUAAUCACCAUGCUAAACUAGAUAACCAUUGUAUUUUAUCAAUUCCAUUGACUUAACACCUUGUAAGAAUCCUUGUUUCAAGUUCAGAGUUCUGGCCCAUAUCAAACCCAAAACAAACUUGACAAAGGUACUGGGGUGGUUUGCCAUUUCCUUCUCUAGCUCACUUUACAGAUGAGGAAACUAAGGCAAAUAGGAUUAAGGCAUUUGUUUAGGAAAUGAUUAAAUGCAUGAAAGAGGUCACCCAGAAUUUCAUUAGAGAUUAGUAGAAAGAGUUCACUUCAAAUGAAGAGGAAGAGGUGGCAGAGCCCAUGAAAAAUAGUAAAGAGGUAGUAUCUGAGAGGAUUCAGGAAUUAGAAGAGGAAGAUUCAGGGUGCAGAAAACACAAGGGUGAGGAAUCUGUUUCUGCUAUGAGAGAGAACUCAGUGAAGGUUGGUCAAUUGUACAUCUCUGGAUUGUCUUUCAAAGGGUUUGAAGACAUCUAAAAGCUCUCUGAAAAGUAAAAUAAAAUUAAGACCUACAUUCUACUGUAAUACGCUAUAAAAGAAAACAUUUAAGAGAGAUUCAAGGAGAGAAAGCAAAAAACAUGACUCCUAGCUUAUGAUAGAUAAUAAGAUGAUAAGCUUAUCAUCUAGAUAAUAUUAUCUAGAUGAUAAGCUUAUCAUCUUAAUUGAAGAGAUAAGGCAUUGAGAAAUAAUUAAAGAUCAAAAAGAAAUCACACAAAAAAUAAAAUUUAAUUUUUAUUCUGUAUUUACUUCUCUGUGAACAUGCUGCUUUUGACCCCAGUGAAAUAUAAGCUACUUGAGGGCAGCUGGUGUUUGUCUUUGUACAUCCAUCAUAAAAUCUGGUAAUCGGUAAGUGCUUAGCAAAUGCUAGUUGAGUAAAAGAAGAGUUAUCUAUACUAUUGCAGUUGGGUAUUAUUAGUUCUUUGUGUUUCUUUUGGGUUAAAUAAAACCAGACCAAUUUUGGAUAGGCACUUUUAUAAGGGUUG
Sarcophilus harrisii (Tasmanian devil) is the source of this 1577-nucleotide long non-coding RNA. NCBI's taxonomy places the organism in Eukaryota, Metazoa, Chordata, Mammalia, Dasyuromorphia, Dasyuridae. The record is from Ensembl.